Molecule: long non-coding RNA, 597 nt
Filed under: Rattus norvegicus (Norway rat)
Lineage: Eukaryota; Metazoa; Chordata; Mammalia; Rodentia; Muridae
Description: long non-coding RNA NONRATT027460
Source: RNAcentral
GCCAAAUGAUAUUGAUAGAAGGGCCAGCUAUGUAUUACUAAGAUAGAAGCCAAUAUAUUUUUAAAUUUUUUCCAGGGAUCAUUAGAAGUUUAUCUUGUAAUGUUUCUCUAUUGAUGUUUAUUGAUGUUUGUAAAUGGAAUGAAGUACUACUGAGCAUAUUUAUGAAAAGGUACUAUAGGGGAAGAGAGGGUGCAAUAAAUAAUGGGACAUGAAUAUGUUUCUAAGGAAAUGGUAACCUCAAGGAAGGGAAGCAUUAGUCAAUCUUUUCUUUUUUUUUUUUUUUAUUAACUUGAGUAUUUCUUAUAUACAUUUCGAGUGUUAUUCCCUUUCCCGGUUUCCGGGCAAACAUUCCCCUCCCCCCUCCCCUUCCUUAUGGGUGUUCCCCUUCCCAACCCUCCCCCCAUUGCCGCCCUCCCCCCAUAGACUAGUUCACUGGGGGUUCAGUCUUAGCAGGACCCAGGGCUUCCCCUUCCACUGGUGCUCUUACUAGGAUAUUCAUUGCUACCUAUGGGGUCAGAGUCCAGGGUCAGUCCAUGUAUAGUCUUUAGGUAGUGGCUUAGUCCCUGGAAGCUCUGGUUGCUUGGCAUUGUUGUACUU